RNAcentral lists this ribosomal RNA (722 nucleotides) under uncultured bacterium. RNAcentral describes it as "bacterial SSU rRNA". It matches the Rfam family "Bacterial small subunit ribosomal RNA", at positions 8 to 719 of the family's 1533-position model. The record is from RNAcentral.
AGAGUUUGAUCCUGGCUCAGAUUGAACGCUGGCGGCAUGCCUAACACAUGCAAGUCGAACGGAAACGAUGGGAGCUUGCUCCCAGGCGUCGAGUGGCGGACGGGUGAGUAAUACUUAGGAAUCUGCCCAGUAGUGGGGGACAACUCGGGGAAACUCGAGCUAAUACCGCAUACGCCCUACGGGGGAAAGCGGAGGAUCUUUCGGGACUUCGCGCUAUUGGAUGAGCCUAAGUCGGAUUAGCUUGUUGGUGAGGUAAAGGCUCACCAAGGCGACGAUCCGUAGCUGGUCUGAGAGGACGAUCAGCCACACUGGGACUGAGACACGGCCCAGACUCCUACGGGAGGCAGCAGUGGGGAAUAUUGGACAAUGGGGGCAACCCUGAUCCAGCAAUGCCGCGUGUGUGAAGAAGGCCUGCGGGUUGUAAAGCACUUUCAGUAGAGAAGAAAAGCCUGGGGUCAAUACCCCUGGGUCUUGACGUUACCUACAGAAGAAGCUCCGGCUAACUCCGUGCCAGCAGCCGCGGUAAUACGGAGGGAGCGAGCGUUAAUCGGAAUUACUGGGCGUAAAGCGCGCGUAGGCGGCUUUGUAAGUCGGAUGUGAAAGCCCUGGGCUCAACCUGGGAAUGGCAUUCGAUACUGCAUAACUAGAGUAUGGUAGAGGGAAGUGGAAUUUCCGGUGUAGCGGUGAAAUGCGUAGAUAUCGGAAGGAACACCAGUGGCGAA